GAAUACCGCGGGUAAAGACGGCCUCCCCCCCGACAGUUACCCUCAGAGGGUAAGAAAGCGUGCGGAGCAAACAUUAUUACCCCCGUAGUCCUCCACGCUGUAAACGUUGUCUACGAGGAGGUGGUGACUUAGAGCCGUGGUUCUCGGAGAUAACGCGUCAAGUACACCGCCUGAGGAGUGCGGUCGCACGAUUAAAACUCAAAUGAAUUGACGGGGGCCCGCACAAGCGGUGGAGCACGUGGUUUACUUCGAUGCAACGCGAAGAACCUUACUUACUCUGGACAUCCAGAGAAGCCGGAAGAGAUUUUGGUGUGCCUUCGGGAGCUAUGAGACAGGUGCUGCAUGGCUGUCCUCAGCUCGUGUUGUAAAAUGUUGGGUUAAGUCCCGCAACGAGCGCAACCCUUAUCCUUGAUUCCCAGCACUUCGGGUCGGAACUUCAGGGAGACCGCCGGUGAUAAACCGGAGGAUGGUGGCGACGACGUCAAGUCAUCAUGGCCCUUACGAGUAGGGCUACACACGUGCUACAAUGGCGUAUACAGACGGCAGCUAACUUGCGAGAGUGUGCGAAUCCCAAAAAGUACGUCGUAGUCCGGAUUGGAGUCUGCAACUCGACUCCAUGAAGUCGGAAUCGCUAGUAAUCGUAGAUCAGAAUGUUUCGGUGAAUACGUUCCCGGGCCUUGUACACACCUCCCGUCACACCAUGUGAGUGGGCGUGCAAAACAAGCAUGGUAGUGUAACCUUCGGGAGGACGCUGUCACUUGUAAAGGCCC
Molecule: ribosomal RNA, 770 nt
Filed under: Vibrio ruber
Lineage: Bacteria; Pseudomonadati; Pseudomonadota; Gammaproteobacteria; Vibrionales; Vibrionaceae
Description: bacterial SSU rRNA
Rfam family: Bacterial small subunit ribosomal RNA
Source: RNAcentral